UCUGAGGUGAAAUUAAGGAUGGAAAUCAUAUGAAAGAGGAAAAGGUCAGAGAAAAGAAGCAAAAGUAGGGAAAUAAAAGGCAAAAGAAAAUCAUAGAAAGAGGCAGAACAAAGGCCAUCUUCACUUUGCACUUAACUCAGCUUCCUUUGCAACUCUGUCAGUGGAAGACAAGUUGCGGUAGACAGGGUACAAGGACAGCAUGGAAGAAAGAAAAAAAUGCAUCCCAUUUUUUGUUAUUUUCUCAACAGUCUCUGGAAGAAAAGAAAAAGAAGUGUAGCUCUCUGUAUACGACUAAAUGGCUGCAUAAUCAUCUGUGAAAAUUGGAGAAUAGAAUCCAUGAAACUGCAAAUGGUUCUACAAAUGGAGCCCCAAAUGAUCACCACUAGCACCUACUAUUGAGGACCCCUAGACUGACCUACCAACCUGUUCUAACACUACGACACUGAAGACUCCCCUCCUGAGGAACCCUCAACUGCAGAUCCCCUUCUAUGCCCCAGUUCAGCAGGAAGUAGCUAGAAUGAUCAUUGCCCAACUUCUCAACAGCACUUGGGCUUUCCUGUUGAGAGUGGGUACUGAGGCACUAAGUGGCUAAGUUGGCUAGACUUCCUGGGUCAACAGGGACUUCCCUAAGGGGACAUUCCCCUAAGCCAAAAUGAGUCAUAGCUGCAAGCUAAGGGAUUGAAACUUCAACCAAUCAAAGGGGACUUUCUCCUAAGCAAAAAUGAGUCACCGCUGCAAACUAAGUGAUUGAAACUUCACCCAAUCAUAUAGGGAGUUUAAGCUUUAGCUGCAGCCUGAUGUUUUUAACCAAUCAGGCCUGCCAACCCACAAGCGGAUAGAAAAUAAGCUAAUCCUAUGGGACAGAAAAAGGAAAAGGGGAGGAGUCAUAAGGGGAUAUAAGCAUAAGACACCCAAGCCAGAAACGGAAACCCUUCCGGGUCUCCUUCCACCACGUGGAAGCUUUACUUUUGCUUUUACUUUACUUUCACUUUAAUAAACCUUGGCGCCGCACACUCUUUGGGUCUGUACGUUUCUCUAAUUGAGCUGUAACACUCGCUGCUGUGGUCCACGGCUUCAUUCCUUGAAGCCUGUGAGACCACGAACCCUUCAAUUGAGAAAAACCUUCAAUCAGAAGAAGACUUCUUGUCUCAAUAUCACUUCCUUUGAAAACAUAAUUCAAGAGUUAUUCACAUCAUAGUUAUUUUUCACUACCUAACAGGUAAAAAAUA
Molecule: long non-coding RNA, 1229 nt
Organism: Gorilla gorilla gorilla (western lowland gorilla)
Lineage: Eukaryota; Metazoa; Chordata; Mammalia; Primates; Hominidae
Exons: 4
Source: RefSeq, a predicted model, not a curated record